CCUACGGGAGGCAGCAGUGGGGGAUAUUGGACAAUGGGGGGAACCCUGAUCCAGCGACGCCGCGUGAGUGAAGAAGUAUUUCGGUAUGUAAAGCUCUGUCAGCAGGGAAGAAAGCAAUGACGGUACCUGACCAAGAAGCCCCGGCUAACUACGUGCCAGCAGCCGCGGUAAUACGUAGGGGGCAAGCGUUAUCCGGAAUUACUGGGUGUAAAGGGAGCGUAGACGGCUGUGGAAGUCUGGAGUGAAAGGCGGGGGCCCAACCCCCGGACUGCUCUGGAUACUGGAUGGCUGGAGUGCAGGUGAGGUAAGCGGAAUUCGUGGUGUAGCGGUGAAAUGCGUAGAUAUUAGGAGGAACACCAGUGGCGAAGGCGGCUUACUGAACUGUAACUGACGUUGAUGCUCGAAAGCGUGGGGAGCAAACAGGAUUAGAUACCCUAGUAGUC
This 443-nucleotide ribosomal RNA is filed under the name uncultured bacterium. RNAcentral's name for it is "partial 16S ribosomal RNA". It matches the Rfam family "Bacterial small subunit ribosomal RNA", at positions 338 to 795 of the family's 1533-position model. The record is from RNAcentral.